AAGCAUAACACAAUAAGAAUGGCAUACAUACGUGCAGCGAGUCAUGGUGGUUGGAGAUGACCGUCCCUGUAGCCUUUUAAAUCAGUUAUGAAUUUGUUAGACUGAAAUUUAAGUAAGUUUAACCGGUGCAGACCGUUAAUGCUGAUUUGAGAGUUGUUUACUUGUAGACAACUAAAACUGGGUGGUACCACGUGAAAACGUCCCUGUG
This 208-nucleotide non-coding RNA is filed under the name Leuconostoc gasicomitatum. Lineage: Bacteria; Bacillati; Bacillota; Bacilli; Lactobacillales; Lactobacillaceae. The record is from RNAcentral.